GUGGCUCUUCUGGGUUCAAGAGAGAAAGGUAAAGGAAUAAAGGCAAAGUUUGAGUUUGCCUGAUGUGCACCACAAGGGCCAUGGAGAAUUUGAAGCACAGGGGUGGCAUGGUAGUGACAUGGGAGUGAGCUGGGUGGAGAUUGUGGAGUUCUGACUCAGAGCAUCCAUAAGAUAAAGACAGGUCGGGCUGAGUGUUGCCUGCACAAAUGCGGGAAACAGCUGGUUCAUAUUUUUUCAAUAAUUCCUGCAACACCCACAUGAAGACUAAGUUGAACAUCUGGUACAUAUGUGAGUGCAUGCUUAGAUACAGCCCAUAGACGUCCUUUGGUUGGUGGUUCAGACUCUGAGAGCCCCAAGGCUCCAGAUUAUGGUCCACCGUUCAGGGAACUGAUGUCAGAAACUCAAGGCAGAAGUUGAGGCCAUGAAGAAACACAGCUUUUCUAGG
This 445-nucleotide long non-coding RNA is filed under the name Mus caroli (Ryukyu mouse). Its description in RNAcentral is "lncRNA (MGP_CAROLIEiJ_G0005370.1)". Lineage: Eukaryota; Metazoa; Chordata; Mammalia; Rodentia; Muridae. The record is from RNAcentral.